UUUCUUAACAAUAUUCUUAAUUAAGCACAUGAAAUCCUCAAUUAAAUUGUUAAGAUAAAGGAAAUUAUACUCUAGUGUUUUGUAUUCAUCAAAAUCCAUUAGGGGGUCAACAAUCUCCCCCUUUUUGAUGAUGACAAAACACUGAGUAUAUGCAAAAUUCGAAAUUUAAACAUAUACACAGUAUUUGAUCAGAUGUACAAGUAUAGUGUUUUGAUCAGUUCUUCCCUUAUGCAUAAGUAUUGGUCUUAGUAGCUCUUGAGCAAUUUUGGUAUAUCAACUGAAUUUGAAUCAAGUUAAAUUGUAAAUUACUGAAAUAUUGAUGCUAAAGACAAUUGAAAGCUAAGUACUUUUUGACUCCCCCUUUCUUUUCCAGAAGGGCAAUUAUCUUAAAGCCAAUAUUCUUCAAUUUUAUCUUUUCUAAUUCAAAUUUUAAGUAUGAGUAUAAAUUUUGCAUUCCAUAUUUAGGUUUUACUCCAUAUACUCCAUAUAUAGGUUCUAUAUAUCUACUCCCCCUUUUUGUCAUCAACAAUGAACGGGACAAAUUAUCCUUAGGUACUUAAAACACAAUUCCUAGUGGAAUUCAGCUGUAAUAACCCCAAAUUUUUUUUUUAUAUAUAAAAAGGGAUAGAAUAGUCCUUUAAAAUUGAUAUAGGGGUAAAAUAGGAAGGAAUCAAAAGAUAAUGGCAUAGUUGUAGAUGCGUUGAAGUGGUAAGGGUAAAAUUGGAAGGAAUCAAAAGUUAAUGGCAUAACGGUAGAUAUGUUGAAGUGUUAGGGGCAAAAUGGGAAUUUAAUAAUAUUAAACAAAGGUGAAUAGUGCUUUGAUGUGAUUUAAUUGGAGGAUUUGAGCUGGCUUUUGGAAUGAAACCGAGAGAAAGAGGGAGGGGGUUCUCAGGCGACAGAGAGGAAAAAAAAGGAAGAAGAGGAGAGGAAAUGAAGAAAGGAAGAGGAAGAAGAAGAAGAAAAAGAAAGCAAAAGGGAUCCCGGUUGCACUUCCAGCUGCAGGGAAAAGUGUAGAUCUCCUUCCCCUCUACGCAAGGACCUCGAUUUCCAAAAAGAAAAAGGUAAAUAUCCAUCCUUAUCUAGUCUUUUGAUGACAUUAGGCUAUACAAAGGGUGGAUAUAGUCUAGAGGGGUCGGAUAAGGGUUGUAGAGGUGGUUAAAAGAAGAAGAAUCGGAUUUUGACAAAUUUUUCCGGCACUACGGAAAAACUGUGUCGAAGUCCCAACUUCGGCAAAUUAUUUAGGGGGUCAAACGGCCUCCGAUGAUGAUGCAUGUUUACCUCUUUGGAAUCCUCUAUGAGUGUAGAAUGUUAGGUAAAAAUUUCAUCAAAUUUGGAGUUUGGAAAGUGGAUCAAAACCAGAAUAAAGUAACUCACUGUCAGUCC
RNAcentral lists this long non-coding RNA (1383 nucleotides) under Phoenix dactylifera (date palm). RNAcentral's name for it is "long non-coding RNA (PDAC_LNC010962)". The record is from RNAcentral. Lineage: Eukaryota; Viridiplantae; Streptophyta; Magnoliopsida; Arecales; Arecaceae.